GACGGAGGGUGCUAGCGUUGUUCGGAAUCACUGGGCGUAAAGGGCGCGUAGGCGGCCAAGGCAGUCGGCACGUGAAAGCCCGGGGCUCAACUCCGGAGGUGCGUCCGAUACUCUUUGGCUGGAGGCCGGAAGAGGAGGGUGGAAUACCCAGUGUAGAGGUGAAAUUCGUAGAUAUUGGGUGGAACACCGGUGGCGAAAGCGGCUCUCUGGUCCGGACCUGACGCUGAGGCGCGAAAGCGUGGGGAGCAAACAGG
Molecule: unclassified non-coding RNA, 254 nt
Filed under: uncultured Alphaproteobacteria bacterium
Lineage: Bacteria; Pseudomonadati; Pseudomonadota; Alphaproteobacteria
Description: contains 16S-23S intergenic spacer region
Rfam family: Bacterial small subunit ribosomal RNA
Source: RNAcentral